CUUUCGCCAUGCGCUCCUGGCGGGCCGGACAUGGAGGCGGGAAGCGGCACCGGGACCACGUUAAGAGUGGCCGGGAACCGCGUUGGGACCGCUGCGAGCGGCUCCUCGCAGAAAGAUGGCUUGAAGUAAAAAAGAGCCUGGCUUUCCAGAUGAAGGUGACAUAGGGAGUAGGCUGCUCUUUGGAGAUGGCCCUAAUGUGAAGGUAAGCAAUGAAUUUCACUGACCCAUGUGGAGCUUUAUACCACGUGGAAUCUAAAUUGAGAAUGAAUGAGGUUUAUAGGCUACAAAAAGCUUGAGAAGCAUGUUUUGUGAGUUAUUUCAUAGCUUGAAUCAAUCUGCUCUCCUGCCUUUCUUCCCUCAACAGUCAAAGCCUGAUACUUAUUUCCUGGUAUCUAUAUUUAGGUGUAGUUGCCAGUCUCUGCUGCCGUGUACUAAUUGUUCCUCAUGUCUACCAGGUGAUGUUAUAGCUCUCCACAAGUCCUGCAGAAGGCAGUGAGACAGCAAAAGCAGGAGAUUCCUCUGGGUGUUUAUGCUGAGAACAUCUUGUCUGAGGAAGAAGCAAUCCAGUAAAACACGUGCGUGAGCUUGGGGACUAGUGUUUGUAAAGACCAUGUCUUUUUCUGCCCUAAAAUGUUAAGAAAUGAUAACAGUUACACUGUUUUGAUGACACAUACAUUAAAAUCCGAUCUCAAAACAAA
Molecule: long non-coding RNA, 698 nt
Filed under: Strigops habroptila (Kakapo)
Lineage: Eukaryota; Metazoa; Chordata; Aves; Psittaciformes; Psittacidae
Description: lncRNA (ENSSHBG00005016021.1)
Source: RNAcentral